This is a non-coding RNA of Chrysemys picta bellii (western painted turtle), 1085 nucleotides long. NCBI's taxonomy places the organism in Eukaryota, Metazoa, Chordata, Testudines, Emydidae. The record is from RefSeq and is a predicted model, not a curated record.
AGCGAGCCUGCGGGGUAAUAUAAUACCUCAGCGCUGCUAAGGGAGGGGAUCUACCCCGCCAGGCAAGGAGCGGAUACGGCCAGGUGUCAAAGCUUCUGGGAGACACAUCACACCAUGGCAGCCACGGCUCCAGGCACGUUAGAGGGAAGCAUGGUCCGGGAAGUAGUGAGGGCCAGCCACAGCAGCCAUCUUAGCAAGGGGGGGGUGGACACCCCCAGGAAUAUUACUGAAUUUUCAGGCUGUGCCCAGCGUGGAAACAUGAUGGUGGUGGAAGCCAUUCCUUGCAAAGUUGCCAGCUCUCUGACUGAAAGAGGAAAACAAGCUUCCAGUUUUUUCCACUCCUAAGAAACCAACUGAACCUGUUGAAUAAACUGAAAAAGAAAUUACUCUCUGCACCCACAGAAGAGACUACUGUUGUCAAAAGUUUGCCUCUCGCCAUGUUACUCGGCCUGAUUCCCUCCUCUCGGCCAAGCAGCAGCAAGGGACAAGAAGAGCACAGCUGUCAGUGAGUUUCUGGCGUACUGGUUGCUUAGUGGAGAUGGGCAGGUAGUAUGAAGGGUAAGAAUCAUGACAUUUUCUUUUUGCUAUUGCACAUGGACAACGGGACACAGACCCGGCCAUCGCACAUCAGCUAACAAGAUGAAAGAGAGCAGAGACAUUAUUAUUAGAAUCCCAGCUUUUUACUUCACUCGUUGCCUCACCUGUGCAGUCGACCAUCAGCAUCUCCAUUUCCUCAGAGUGCUGGAGAUCUGGGACAAAUGGCUCUUCCCCUCUUUCCACCUGGGCUAUCAUCUCAGGCUUGGGAAUCGGAAAUCCUGGACAUUGGAAAAGAUAUGUUAACAGCUGGCUAAUGUUUGAGUGCUCGUCACAAAGAAUGGUCAUGAUUUUUAUAAGCCCACAUUGUUUUACUAGAGGCAAGGGUGUAAUCCAAGUAGAGAGAACAUUGUCACGAGUCCUGCUGGAAGAGUAAGUAACUGUUGGGAGAUGUGUUGUAAUCUCUGAAGGAGAAUCAGGGAUCUCUACACCCAGGAAAAUAAGACAACUGACACAGUGUAAAAAAUUAAAUCACUUGCCCAUUUCUAAGC